GUCCACGCCCUAAACGAUGCGCACUAGAUCGAGGAGAGUGACAUCCCCUUGGUCGAAGCAAAAGUGUUAAGUGCGCCGCCUGGGGAGUACGGUCGCAAGGCUAAAACUCAAAGGAAUUGACGGGGGCUCACACAAGCGGUGGAGCAUGUGGCUUAAUUCGAAGCAACGCGAAGAACCUUAUCCUAGGCUUGACAUGCAUGGAUUAACUUCCUGAAAGGGAAGCCACGCCCUCUGGGUGGAACAUGCACAGGUGCUGCAUGGCUGUCGU
RNAcentral lists this ribosomal RNA (268 nucleotides) under uncultured bacterium. Its description in RNAcentral is "partial 16S ribosomal RNA". It matches the Rfam family "Bacterial small subunit ribosomal RNA", at positions 793 to 1055 of the family's 1533-position model. The record is from RNAcentral.